GGGUGAUUAACUCAAAGGUAGAGUGUCUCGCUUACAACGAAAAGGUUAGCGGUUCAAGUCCGUUAUUACCCA
RNAcentral lists this transfer RNA (72 nucleotides) under Gloeochaete wittrockiana. RNAcentral's name for it is "tRNA-Val". It matches the Rfam family "tRNA". Rfam says of the family: Transfer RNA (tRNA) molecules are approximately 80 nucleotides in length. Their secondary structure includes four short double-helical elements and three loops (D, anti-codon, and T loops). Further hydrogen bonds mediate the characteristic L-shaped molecular structure. tRNAs have two regions of fundamental functional importance: the anti-codon, which is responsible for specific mRNA codon recognition, and the 3' end, to which the tRNAs corresponding amino acid is attached (by aminoacyl-tRNA synthetases). tRNAs cope with the degeneracy of the genetic code in two manners: having more than one tRNA (with a specific anti-codon) for a particular amino acid; and 'wobble' base-pairing, i.e. permitting non-standard base-pairing at the 3rd anti-codon position. Lineage: Eukaryota; Glaucocystophyceae; Gloeochaetales; Gloeochaetaceae. The record is from RNAcentral.